CCUACGGGCGGCAGCAGUGGGGAAUAUUGCACAAUGGGCGAAAGCCUGAUGCAGCAACGCCGCGUGAAGGAAGAAGGGUUUCGGCUCGUAAACUUCUAUCAACAGGGACGAAAGAAAUGACGGUACCUGAAUAAGAAGCCCCGGCUAACUACGUGCCAGCAGCCGCGGUAAUACGGAGGGGGCAAGCGUUAUGCGGAAUUACUGGGUGUAAAGGGUGAGUAGGCGGCAUGGUAAGCCAGAUGUGAAAGCCUUGGGCUUAACCCGAGGAUUGCAUUUGAAACUGUCAAGCUAGAGUGCAGGAGAGGAAAGCGGAAUUCCUGGUGUAGCGGUGAAAUGCGUAGAUAUGAGGAGGAACACCAGUGGCGAAGGCGGCUUUCUGGACUGUAACUGACGCUGAGGCACGAAAGCAUGGGGAGCGAACAGGAUUAGAUACCCUAGUAGUC
Molecule: ribosomal RNA, 443 nt
Filed under: uncultured bacterium
Lineage: Bacteria
Description: partial 16S ribosomal RNA
Rfam family: Bacterial small subunit ribosomal RNA
Source: RNAcentral